GACGAACGCUGGCGGCGUGCUUAACACAUGCAAGUCGAACGGAAAGGCCCUGCUUUUGUGGGGUGCUCGAGUGGCGAACGGGUGAGUAACACGUGAGUAACCUGCCCUUGACUUUGGGAUAACUUCAGGAAACUGGGGCUAAUACCGGAUAGGAGCUCCUGCUGCAUGGUGGGGGUUGGAAAGUUUCGGCGGUUGGGGCUGGACUCGCGGCUUAUCAGCUUGUUGGUGGGGUAGUGGCUUACCAAGGCUUUGACGGGUAGCCGGCCUGAGAGGGUGACCGGCCACAUUGGGACUGAGGUACGGACCAGACUCCUACGGGAGGCAGCAGUGGGGAAUAUUGCACAAUGGGCGGAAGCCUGAUGCAGAAACGCCGCGUGCGGGAUGACGGCCUUCGGGUUGUAAACCGCUUUCGCAUGUGACGAAGCGUGAGUGACGGUAAUGGGUAAAGAAGCACCGGCUAACUACGUG
This 468-nucleotide ribosomal RNA is filed under the name uncultured bacterium. RNAcentral's name for it is "partial 16S ribosomal RNA". It matches the Rfam family "Bacterial small subunit ribosomal RNA", at positions 28 to 507 of the family's 1533-position model. The record is from RNAcentral.